AGAUUCAACAUGGAACGAGUGGCGGACGGGUGAGUAACACGUGGGUAACCUGCCCUUAAGUGGGGGAUAACAUUUGGAAACAGAUGCUAAUACCGCAUAGAUCCAAGAACCGCAUGGUUCUUGGCUGAAAGAUGGCGUAAGCUAUCGCUUUUGGAUGGACCCGCGGCGUAUUAGCUAGUUGGUGAGGUAAYGGCUCACCAAGGCGAUGAUACGUAGCCGAACUGAGAGGUUGAUCGGCCACAUUGGGACUGAGACACGGCCCAAACUCCUACGGGAGGCAGCAGUAGGGAAUCUUCCACAAUGGACGCAAGUCUGAUGGAGCAACGCCGCGUGAGUGAAGAAGGCUUUCGGGUCGUAAAACUCUGUUGUUGGAGAAGAAUGGUCGGCAGAGUAACUGUUGUCGGCGUGACGGUAUCCAACCAGAAAGCCACGGCUAACUACGUGCCAGCAGCCGCGGUAAUACGUAGGUGGCAAGCGUUAUCCGGAUUUAUUGGGCGUAAAGCGAGCGCAGGCGGUUUUUUAAGUCUGAUGUGAAAGCCCUCGGCUUAACCGAGGAAGCGCAUCGGAAACUGGGAAACUUGAGUGCAGAAGAGGACAGUGGAACUCCAUGUGUAGCGGUGAAAUGCGUAGAUAUAUGGAAGAACACCAGUGGCGAAGGCGGCUGUCUGGUCUGUAA
This 676-nucleotide ribosomal RNA is filed under the name Lactobacillus casei group sp. RNAcentral describes it as "bacterial SSU rRNA". It matches the Rfam family "Bacterial small subunit ribosomal RNA", at positions 76 to 739 of the family's 1533-position model. The record is from RNAcentral. Lineage: Bacteria; Bacillati; Bacillota; Bacilli; Lactobacillales; Lactobacillaceae.